Molecule: ribosomal RNA, 262 nt
Filed under: uncultured bacterium
Lineage: Bacteria
Description: partial 16S ribosomal RNA
Rfam family: Bacterial small subunit ribosomal RNA
Source: RNAcentral
GACGAACCGUGCGAACGUUAUUCGGAAUCACUGGGCUUAAAGCGCGUGUAGGCGGGGAGGCACGUCCGACGUUGAAAUCCCCCGGCUCAACCGGGGAACUGGCGCGGAUACGACCUUCCUGGAGGGCGUAGGGGGACCUGGAACUUCCGGUGGAGCGGUGAAAUGCGUUGAGAUCGGAGGGAACGCCCGUGGCGAAAGCGAGGUCCUGGCGCCUACGUGACGCGUGAGACGCGAAAGCCAGGGGGAGCCGAACGGGAUAGAA